Molecule: ribosomal RNA, 380 nt
Filed under: uncultured eukaryote
Lineage: Eukaryota
Description: partial 18S ribosomal RNA
Rfam family: Eukaryotic small subunit ribosomal RNA
Source: RNAcentral
CAAUAGCGUAUAUUAAUGUUGUUGCAGUUAAAAAGCUCGUAGUUGGAUUUCUGGUGGGAGCGGCCGGUCCGCCGUAAGGUGUGUACUUGGUUGUCUCCUGUCAUCCUUGUGGGAACUGCUCUGGCAUUAAGUUGUCGGGGUUAGGGAACACAUCGUUUACUGUGAAAAAAUUAGAGUGUUUAAAGCAGGCUUAUGCCGUUGAAUACAUUAGCAUGGAAUAAUAAGAUAGGACUUUGGCGUCUAUUUUGUUGGUUUGCACACCAAGGUAAUGAUUAAUAGGGAUAGUUGGGGGUAUUUAUAUUCCGAUGUCAGAGGUGAAAUUCUUAGAUUUUCGGAAGAUAAACUUAUGCGAAAGCAUUUACCAAGGAUGUUUUCAUUAA